This 497-nucleotide ribosomal RNA is filed under the name uncultured bacterium. RNAcentral describes it as "partial 16S ribosomal RNA". It matches the Rfam family "Bacterial small subunit ribosomal RNA", at positions 28 to 507 of the family's 1533-position model. The record is from RNAcentral.
GAUGAACGCUGGCGGCGUGCCUAAUACAUGCAAGUCGAGCGAACAGACGAGGAGCUUGCUCCUCUGCCGUUAGCGGCUGACGGGUGAGUAACACGUGGAUAACCUACCUAUAUGACUGGGAUAACUUCGGGAAACCGGUGCUAAUACCGGCUCAUAUAUUCAACCGCAUGGUUCAAUAGUGCAUGACGGUUUUGCCGUUACUUUUAGCUGAUUCCGCGCCGCAUUAGCUAGUUGGUAAGGUAACGGCUUACCAAGGCAACGAUGCGUAGCCGACCUGAGAGGGUGAUCGGCCACACUGGAACUGAGACACGGUCCAGACUCCUACGGGAGGCAGCAGUAGGGAAUCUUCCGCAAUGGGCGAAAGCCUGACGGAGCAACGCCGCGUGAGUGAAGAAGGGCUUCGGAUCGUAAAACUCUGUUAUUAGGGAAGAACAAAUGUGGAAGUAACUAUGCACGUCUUGACGGUACCUAAUCAGAAAGCCACGGCUAACUACGUG